Molecule: non-coding RNA, 1132 nt
Organism: Capra hircus (goat)
Lineage: Eukaryota; Metazoa; Chordata; Mammalia; Artiodactyla; Bovidae
Source: the annotation of a RefSeq genome assembly
AAAAAAAAGAGCUAGACUGAGGAACCUGGCUUUAUUUCAGGGCAAGAGCUGCAUCUUCUGUGAUCCUCCUAAAGAAGAAGAAUGGAGAAGCUUCUGGCCCUGUCUUUGGUGAUUCUGUGGCUUCAGCUGGCCAAGGUGAAUAGCCAGCAAGGAGAACAGAAUCUGCAGACCCUGAGCAUCCAGGAGGGUGAAAAUAUCACCAUGAACUGCAGCUAUAAAAGUAUUACUAUAACUGCCCUACAGUGGUACAGACAGGAUUCAAGGCGAGGCUUUGUUCAUCUGAUUUUAAUGCGUUCAAAUGAGAGACAGAAACACAGUGGAAGACUACUCUUCACACUGGACAGCUCCAUCCAAAGCAGCUCCAUGUCCAUCAUGGCUUCCCAGGCUGAGGACACUGCUACUUACUUCUGUGCUCCAGACACACAGUGCUCAGCUGGCACCUGCAGCCCCAGCGCAAACCUGCUGGAGCUGUCUCUUAGAAGCCGCGACAGUGUGCAGAGUUGGUGGUUUUGUCUUCCCACAAAGGAGAGUCUGCAAAUGGCUAGCAACAUGAAAGGGAGCUCCUCUCAAAUUCCUGGGUUUUUGGUAACAUGUCAGACUAUAGUAAAGGGCAUGGGAUUUAGAAUGGGAAGCUGAAAUGCCAAAUUCAGCCCUGCCCAUCCUGGCUGUGUCUUUAGCCAUAUCAUUGGUGUAGCAACCUUCAGUGUCCUCAGUUUAAACAAAGGAUUUAGGCUGAUGAGCCUAAAGACCCUUCAAGUUCUAAUUUUACCAGGUCACCUCUGAAGGAUGAAGAAGGACUUCUCAGUAUUAGAAGGGCUCGUCUGUUAUAUGUACAGCCCCCUCAAGACCUAGGUGGGGCUUUAAAACACAUGAGAUGAUUUUAGUAUUUCUCUAAUUCCUAUAUAGGAAACAGUAGAUUCGCCAGACAUUAGAAAUAAAAAGGAUCUAGGACUGUUCCCAUGAAACUUUUCACUUUAAAACCGAGGAGUGAAAACGUUAUGUAAUAAUAGACACAAAGAUCUCAGUAUUGGGAGUAAAAGAGACAAAGAUGUGAAUCUGAUUCUGCCAUUUAUGAUUUGCAUGGUUUCUAACCAUCAAUUUCUCCAUUAAAGAGAUGGAAAUUUAUCCAAAA